Molecule: ribosomal RNA, 1428 nt
Filed under: Bacillus pumilus
Lineage: Bacteria; Bacillati; Bacillota; Bacilli; Caryophanales; Bacillaceae
Description: bacterial SSU rRNA
Source: RNAcentral
CUAUCAUGCAGUCGAGCGAACAGAAGGGAGCUUGCUCCCGGAUGUUAGCGGCGGACGGGUGAGUAACACGUGGGUAACCUGCCUGUAAGACUGGGAUAACUCCGGGAAACCGGAGCUAAUACCGGAUAGUUCCUUGAACCGCAUGGUUCAAGGAUGAAAGACGGUUUCGGCUGUCACUUACAGAUGGACCCGCGGCGCAUUAGCUAGUUGGUGGGGUAAUGGCUCACCAAGGCGACGAUGCGUAGCCGACCUGAGAGGGUGAUCGGCCACACUGGGACUGAGACACGGCCCAGACUCCUACGRGAGSMAGCAGUAGGGAAUCUUCCGCAAUGGACGAAAGUCUGACGGAGCAACGCCGCGUGAGUGAUGAAGGUUUUCGGAUCGUAAAGCUCUGUUGUUAGGGAAGAACAAGUGCGAGAGUAACUGCUCGCACCUUGACGGUACCUAACCAGAAAGCCACGGCUAACUACGUGCCAGCAGCCGCGGUAAUACGUAGGUGGCAAGCGUUGUCCGGAAUUAUUGGGCGUAAAGGGCUCGCAGGCGGUUUCUUAAGUCUGAUGUGAAAGCCCCCGGCUCAACCGGGGAGGGUCAUUGGAAACUGGGAAACUUGAGUGCAGAAGAGGAGAGUGGAAUUCCACGUGUAGCGGUGAAAUGCGUAGAGAUGUGGAGGAACACCAGUGGCGAAGGCGACUCUCUGGUCUGUAACUGACGCUGAGGAGCGAAAGCGUGGGGAGCGAACAGGAUUAGAUACCCUGGUAGUCCACGCCGUAAACGAUGAGUGCUAAGUGUUAGGGGGUUUCCGCCCCUUAGUGCUGCAGCUAACGCAUUAAGCACUCCGCCUGGGGAGUACGGUCGCAAGACUGAAACUCAAAGGAAUUGACGGGGGCCCGCACAAGCGGUGGAGCAUGUGGUUUAAUUCGAAGCAACGCGAAGAACCUUACCAGGUCUUGACAUCCUCUGACAACCCUAGAGAUAGGGCUUUCCCUUCGGGGACAGAGUGACAGGUGGUGCAUGGUUGUCGUCAGCUCGUGUCGUGAGAUGUUGGGUUAAGUCCCGCAACGAGCGCAACCCUUGAUCUUAGUUGCCAGCAUUUAGUUGGGCACUCUAAGGUGACUGCCGGUGACAAACCGGAGGAAGGUGGGGAUGACGUCAAAUCAUCAUGCCCCUUAUGACCUGGGCUACACACGUGCUACAAUGGACAGAACAAAGGGCUGCGAGACCGCAAGGUUUAGCCAAUCCCAUAAAUCUGUUCUCAGUUCGGAUCGCAGUCUGCAACUCGACUGCGUGAAGCUGGAAUCGCUAGUAAUCGCGGAUCAGCAUGCCGCGGUGAAUACGUUCCCGGGCCUUGUACACACCGCCCGUCACACCACGAGAGUUUGUAACACCCGAAGUCGGUGAGGUAACCUUUAUGGAGCCAGCCGCCGAAUG